GUGAGGCCACGCAGAAAUGGCUUGGCAGGGGACCCAGUGAGCCCAGAGGGAUUUUGCCGCUGCUUCCUCUACCCCUGUAUUUCACUCAGCUCUCUAAAUUGACUCAGCUGUAGGCUAGUGUGAGAAACACCAACGUCAGGCCCAUCUCAGAUCUUCACUAUGGCAACUCAUGCAAGAAACUGUUGAAUUAGACCCGUUUCCUAUAGAUGAGAAACCAUACAAGCUGUGGUAUUUAUGAGCCUCCAUUUCUUAUACUACUGCAGUGAACCAACAUUGGAUGUGAAAAUUGCCUUUUGUCAGGGAUUCGAUAAACAAGUGGAUGUGUCAUAUAUUGCCAAACAUUACAACAUGAGCAAAAGCAAAGUUGACAACCAGUUCUACAGUGUGGAAGUGGGAGACUCAACCUUCACAGUUCUCAAGCGCUACCAGAAUCUAAAGCCUAUUGGCUCUGGGGCUCAGGGCAUAGUUUGGUCUCAAGAAAUAGCACCAACCUGUGAGCCAAAGGAGCCAUCUUAAUGUCUUUAGGUCAUUAAUUUUAGACAUAGCAUGUUCUUUACUACAAGGCUACUUUGAGAGUCACUGUGUCACUGUUGGGCUUCUGGCAUAAAUAAAGUUAACAUAAUAUACUCAAUAAACUCUUUCACUCCUUAGCUAACUCCAACAUCAUCCAGACACUGAUGCUCAUCCAAGUUGCCGUGUAGAUUUAUAAGAAGAAUCUUGUUAAGAUAAAAUAACUAAACAUAAAUCAUACUUUAAAUUUUAUUGCCAUGAAAUGGCCAAAGGUAGGAAUGUAGCAGUAACCCCGGAAGAGCAGUCCUUGGUUCUUACUCUUUUGUCUUGGGGGAGUGACAUGUAAAAGCCUCUUCAACCAGAAGCACAGGUGCCCUUGAGCAGCAGGAGAGCAUAUCACUUAUAUCUAAAAGGGAAUAUUUUGUCAAUGAAAGUACAUGCUAAAAUAUAUUAUAUUGAUGGUCGUAAAAAUAAUGUUAUUAGAAAUUGUUUUAAACAAACAUUUUUGAAAAUGAAAAUAAAAAUACAGUUAAUAUUUUAUAACUUAUAUGAAUUGCCUAAAUCUCUUUUUAAUGAGAAGAAUAAUUACUGUGGUACAUCUCAUGUAUAUUAAUCUGUGGAAAUUUCUGAUAUUUUUCUGAAGUCAACUUUUUAAUAUGAAUUUAUUAUUCUUAAGUUUUAAUGAAACUUCUGGUAAUCUUCAAAAUUGCCUGUUAUGGUUAAUAAAUUUGAAAUAUUGACACAUUUAAUAUAUAUAACAAUAUUUUUAUUUGAAAAAUGUUCUCAAAAGGGGCUUAGGUAUCUGCUAAGAACAAAUUUUGCUAAAUUGAAAAUAUUCUUUUUAUUAAUUGAAAAUAUUCUUAAUUCUAAUGUAUUUUUGUAUUGUAAUGUAUAAGUAUUUGAGUCCAAGCUUUUUCACAGACACUGAGUUUUCCCCCCUUCAUUUGGUGUUCCAUUAUCCAAGAAAUAAUUUCAUAAUACCACACUUGCCAAAUAGAUUGCCGAAAUUUAUGGCUUUUUAAAUGGUUUGCCAAAUUUAGAUGCAGAAAAAUUAUAGGCCUUUAAAAUCAUAUUUCAAUCCUGCACAGAAUAUAAAUAUUUGGAAAUUAGAAAUUACACCAGGUCCCACAUAGAAUAUAAAUAGAUCAUAAAAUUCAGAACUUUAUCGAAAGACUGUUCUCACAAAUUAAGAUAUUCUAAAGUAUAAUUAUGGAAUUUCAAAAUGAAAUCUUAUCCUCUCUUUGAGAAUGCAUGAUUUCAUUUGAUUUGUUCAGUUAAUUUCUUUAGUCCAUUUCAGCACAUUCUUGUGGGCUUCAAGUUGCAAGUUUUGUUUAUAAUAAUAGCUAUUCCUUAAAAGUUUCAAGAGUUGAAUACUGGGAUGCUCCAUUUAUGAAAUACUAUGAUUAAACAUUUCCAAGUAAUUUUGCAAAAAAAAGCACCCAAAGUUUAGAGGACUUAUGUAUAAAAAGUUAUUUUUCAAUAGUAAGUAUGAGAAAUGCCAAGAAAAUAUGCCGAUUGCUAUUUCAAAGUAUUUUCAUUUUUUAAAUUCAAUAUCAGCUUUGUCUCCAAAAUUU
This 2084-nucleotide small RNA is filed under the name Pongo abelii (Sumatran orangutan). RNAcentral's name for it is "processed transcript". Lineage: Eukaryota; Metazoa; Chordata; Mammalia; Primates; Hominidae. The record is from RNAcentral.